GAUUUUACUUGGGGUGAACACCAGGAGGCUAUGGUGAGGUUGUCUGGGGAAAGGACUGCAGGCUGGAAGGCCAGAGGUCCAGGACUGACUGCGUCCUGACGGGCUAGUCACCCAACCUUUUGAGACUUGCUUUCUCCGUCUGGGAAAUGAGGACACUCAGACCCACUUAUCGAAUGGCAAACACAUAGCAUGGAUCUCUGUCAGUCUAUGAAGGGAAAUCCAAGUUAGACAGGUGCACAUUGGCCAUGGAACCACAGAAGGUGCCUCAGCCUCCCAGAGAGAGCCUCAUUCAUUGGGUUCAAGUCAGGGCAAGAGUGCAGGCGAAGCCAGACCUGGGAUGGGGAUCAGUGCUGUGCGUGGACCUGGGCCCGGGUAGGUGUUACCCUCAUCUCAGCUGUGAGGAAACCAUCUCAGAGUGCACGUGCCCAAGGUCAAACGGCUCCUGGCAUGGAGCUGGGAGUCACCCUGCGCUGAUCCAGGCGGAACGCAGACAUCCGGAGGCCAUUGGGAAAACUGUUUUGUGUGGAAAGCCUUACUCUGCUGGCGGAGGAGGCUGCCUCAGAGUCCGCCCAGCCUGGCCGCUGGCUCCAGGAGCUCGGCUGGGAGCUGCCUCUGAGCCUAACCUGUGUCCACCCCCGCGCCCAGGGAGCCAGCCUCUUCACACUCCCGGCCAUGGAGCAGGCCCUACGGAUUUGGAAGGGGACGUGGAGCCCCCAAAACAGAGGUUCCAUUAACCCCCCAGGCGAAACCAGUCAGUCUCUGGCUAAAGCACAGCUGGGGUGUUUCAGAUUAAACCGGAGUCUUCUUUGUGAAAAGGAAAUGACAGAAGAGAGAGGCCCGGGGGUGCUAAACAUGGUUCAGCUUCUCAACUGACCGCUGAGCCCUGGGAGAAGCACUGCUGGGGACAGGAAUGAUGCUUUGUGCCUUUUUCAGAAAUAGCUUUUAAAUGAGUGAGGCAUACAAUAGAAUUUCAAACAUUAAUUAUCAUUUGGGGAUGCUAUGUAGGUGCCAGUAACUGUUUUAAAUGCUUCAAAUGAAUUAGCCUGGUGAGUCCUCACAAUAGCUCUAUGAGAGAUAUUAUUAGCCCACCUCACCAAUGUAGAAACUGGGGCACAGAGAGGGAAGUGACUCGCCCAAGGUCACGCAGCUGGUAAGUGGCAGAGCAAGGGUUCAAGGAGAGCAGGCUACUCUUUUGACCUGGACCUCACAGGGCAGGUAUGAGCCUGACGCUCCCAACCCCAGGCCUCAGCCCUCAGUGCCCCAUCCUCUGUGGGUGUCUGCAAGGGAAGAUAAGCGUCCAUGGUCUCUCACUGCGGGGGAGGGACACCUGGGAUCUGGCCCUCACCUCGAGGACUACCCUUGUUCCACAGGGGCCCUUGGCAGACUCCGCUUAAAAUCAAUGUAAAGUGUUUAGAAUAAUGUCUGGCACAAAAUAAAUGUUCAAGCCAGAAAUUAUAUGUGAAUAUGUAGAAAAGACAAGGUCAGUAACUGGCUCUAGAGAGGAUUUGGCACUUUCCAAGGGCUUGGGUUAGAUUGAAUUUAAUGAUUUGUAAAUAUUUAUUGUUGUAUCUACAGUUUAAAUGCACUCAGACUAGAUUUUAGAUUCCACAUGUAACUGAUUCCCACAUCCAGAUUUUUUAAAUCUAAAAAGAGUAAGUAUAACACACAAUAAGUUUUCUCAUUAUUUCCUCACUUUGUGUCUCAGCCUUUCCAUUUCCUGCACGCCUCAAUAAAUAAUCUUAAAUCAAAAUAAACAAAUAAGUGAAUGUCUAAGCAGGAGCUAUUAUAUGAGUAUUAAAGAUAUUGACCCUUUGGCUGCCAUUUGUCACACAUGUAACAGGAAUCAACGGCCCUCUAAGACUGGAGGAUCCUGGUUGGUGGCAGGCUCUCAGUUUUGCCGAGCUUCUGGAACGAUUGGGGUACUUCCGCUCAUGAGAUAAGGCAGGGCAAGAAGAGCUGAAGUGCUCUGCAUGACAGAGGGAGAAAUAUUUGGAGUUGGAGAAAUUCUGGGAUGUAGGGAGAAAAGGGGAGAAGGGAGUGAGAGAAGAGGGGUGUGGACAGGUGUGGGUGGAUUCCAGAAUAUGGCCCCCAGACCUCCUGAGAAGUCCGGUGGGAUAAUGUUUGGUUCGAAUGUGGUUCCUCUGUCUGAAUCUGCAUCCCAGUUGACAUGAAAUAGCUGUCUCAGACCAUGAAGCCACUUACCCCUUUGCUCCCCAAACUGGCAAACCCAAACCGUCAAGAUGCCUAGGAACACCAGGAGUUGGUAUUUGAAUUGCACAUGUCUUUUUAAACCCGGUUUGUUAUUUGGUGGUGUGUUUUCUUUAUGGUUGGAAUGGACAUUGUGGUGUGUCUUCUUUAGGACUGUAGGACUCCAUCCUCCAUCGCAGGGAAAUGCUGCAGCAGGGAGCCUCCAACGGUCGGCUGUCAGAGCUACCUUGCCCAACAUCACAGGUAUAACAGUAACUCAUGCUCUGUAAUAAAUUGCCCCAAAACAUGGGAGCUUAAAACAACAAUUAUUAUCUUGAAGUUUCUGUGAAUUAGGAAUUUGAAAGCCACUUAGGGGGGUGGUUCUGGCUUAGGGUUUCUGAUGAGGUUGCAGUCGAACUGUCGACCAGGACUGCAGUCAUUGGACCCAGUCCCCUGACUGGGGCCUGGGGCCGGGGGACUGGCUUUUAAAGGUGUCUCACUAGAAUGGCUGGGGGUGGGAGGCCUUGGUUUCUCACCACGUGGGCCCCU
Molecule: long non-coding RNA, 2736 nt
Organism: Leopardus geoffroyi (Geoffroy's cat)
Lineage: Eukaryota; Metazoa; Chordata; Mammalia; Carnivora; Felidae
Exons: 4
Source: RefSeq, a predicted model, not a curated record